AGCUUGUCUGAUGGUAGUGGGUUAUCAGAACUUAUUGACAUUAGUGUCACUGAAGUUGGUAUACAACCCCCCAUGCUAAGUUUGACUGGCUUUAA
This is an unclassified non-coding RNA of Nomascus leucogenys (northern white-cheeked gibbon), 95 nucleotides long. It matches the Rfam family "Y RNA". From Rfam's summary of the family: Y RNAs are components of the Ro ribonucleoprotein particle (Ro RNP), in association with Ro60 and La proteins. The Y RNAs and Ro60 and La proteins are well conserved, but the function of the Ro RNP is not known. In humans the RNA component can be one of four small RNAs -- hY1, hY3, hY4 and hY5. The record is from Ensembl. Lineage: Eukaryota; Metazoa; Chordata; Mammalia; Primates; Hylobatidae.